GCUGGAAUGGCCGAGUCGUUAAGGCGAGUGAUUUGAAUUACUCAAUAUCACUUGGUGUUUCACCGCGUAGGUUCAAAUCCUGCUUCCAGCG
RNAcentral lists this transfer RNA (91 nucleotides) under Laccaria bicolor S238N-H82. It matches the Rfam family "tRNA". From Rfam's summary of the family: Transfer RNA (tRNA) molecules are approximately 80 nucleotides in length. The record is from Rfam by way of RNAcentral. Lineage: Eukaryota; Fungi; Basidiomycota; Agaricomycetes; Agaricales; Hydnangiaceae.